Hevea brasiliensis (rubber tree) is the source of this 513-nucleotide long non-coding RNA. RefSeq lists it as uncharacterized. The record is from RefSeq and is a predicted model, not a curated record. Lineage: Eukaryota; Viridiplantae; Streptophyta; Magnoliopsida; Malpighiales; Euphorbiaceae. The transcript is spliced from 2 exons.
CUGACUUUUUGCAUUUUAAUAAAGCUAUAAUUAAAAUUUUUUAUUUUAUUUGUGUACUUUUAGGGUUUCGAUAAUCUGAUGAGAAGAAAGAGAAGAAAACUAAGGCAAAGCAUUUGUUAAACAUAAACUGCAAAAACAAAAAGAAAAAAUAGGUGCUCUAAGCACAGUGCCUCCACCGUGCGCCAUCUAAAGAUGUACAACACGAAAUCGAAGCACAAUCACAGGGGGGGAAUUCUGAAAGCUGAAUUGCAAUCCAAGCAGGUCCCCAACACAUGUAUCCGAGGCGAUCCUCGCUGGUUUGGGAUUUCAGGGGUUAUUAAUCAGAAACAGCUUCAAAAUUAUCGGGAAGAGCCGCAAAGGCAAAUGGGUAAUAGCUACAAUGUGAUAUUGAAUCAGAGAGUGCUGCCAGCGUCAAUUUGAUAUUUUUUGCAAAUUGUUUAUGAACUGAGAGCAAUGUGGUGAAUUUGAUUGAUUGGUUUUUGCAAUUAUAUAAUAAAAGCUGAGAUUCAUGAC